This 301-nucleotide ribosomal RNA is filed under the name uncultured bacterium. Its description in RNAcentral is "partial 16S ribosomal RNA". It matches the Rfam family "Bacterial small subunit ribosomal RNA", at positions 509 to 807 of the family's 1533-position model. The record is from RNAcentral.
CAGCCGCCGCGGUAAUGCGUAGGGUGCGAGCGUUAAUCGGAAUUACUGGGCGUAAAGCGUGCGCAGGCGGUUGUGUAAGACAGGUGUGAAAUCCCCGGGCUUAACCUGGGAACUGCGCUUGUGACUGCACAGCUAGAGUAUGGCAGAGGGGGGUGGAAUUCCACGUGUAGCAGUGAAAUGCGUAGAUAUGCGGAGGAACACCGAUGGCGAAGGCAAUCCCCUGGGCCUGCACUGACGCUCAUGCACGAAAGCGUGGGGAGCAAACAGGAUUAGAUACCCGCGUAGUCCCUGUCUCUUAUAC